Molecule: non-coding RNA, 181 nt
Filed under: Desulfosudis oleivorans Hxd3
Lineage: Bacteria; Pseudomonadati; Thermodesulfobacteriota; Desulfobacteria; Desulfobacterales; Desulfosudaceae
Description: Desulfococcus oleovorans Hxd3 6S / SsrS RNA
Rfam family: 6S / SsrS RNA
About the family: E. coli 6S RNA was the first non coding RNA to be sequenced, but its function was unknown until recently. It consists of 184 nucleotides that fold into an extended hairpin structure with a large single-stranded internal bulge.
Source: Rfam by way of RNAcentral
UACCCCCUGCCGUGCAAGUGAUUGAUAGAUGCUCUUUGUCCCAACUAUAGCAGGACGGGAGCUGUCUCUGGCUCUGGUGUGCAGGUUCCGCAUGGACGGAAAAGCCUAAAAGAGCCACACGGCGCCCACCUUGUUUACCAUGGUCAAAGACCUGGCAACACGGCACAAAGGCAGGGGGAUU